Molecule: ribosomal RNA, 449 nt
Filed under: uncultured bacterium
Lineage: Bacteria
Description: partial 16S ribosomal RNA
Rfam family: Bacterial small subunit ribosomal RNA
Source: RNAcentral
AGUGAACGCUGGCGGCAGGCCUAACACAUGCAAGUCGAGCGAGACCUUCGGGUCUAGCGGCGGACGGGUGAGUAACGCGUGGGAAUAUGCCCUUCUCUACGGAAUAGCCUCGGGAAACUGAGAGUAAUACCGUAUACGCCCUUCGGGGGAAAGAUUUAUCGGAGAAGGAUUAGCCCGCGUUGGAUUAGGUAGUUGGUGGGGUAAUGGCCUACCAAGCCUACGAUCCAUAGCUGGUUUGAGAGGAUGAUCAGCCACACUGGGACUGAGACACGGCCCAGACUCCUACGGGAGGCAGCAGUGGGGAAUCUUAGACAAUGGGGGAAACCCUGAUCUAGCCAUGCCGCGUGAGUGAUGAAGGCCUUAGGGUUGUAAAGCUCUUUCAGCUGGGAAGAUAAUGACGGUACCAGCAGAAGAAGCCCCGGCUAACUCCGUGCCAGCCGCCGCUGUAA